UACGUAGGGUGCAAGCGUUGUCCGGAAUUAUUGGGCGUAAAGAGCUCGUAGGCGGUUUGUCGCGUCUGCUGUGAAAUCCGGAGGCUCAACCUCCGGCCUGCAGUGGGUACGGGCAGACUAGAGUGCGGUAGGGGAGAUUGGAAUUCCUGGUGUAGCGGUGGAAUGCGCAGAUAUCAGGAGGAACACCGAUGGCGAAGGCAGAUCUCUGGGCCACUACUGACGCUGAGAAGCGAAAGCAUGGGGAGCGAACAGG
Molecule: ribosomal RNA, 253 nt
Filed under: uncultured bacterium
Lineage: Bacteria
Description: partial 16S ribosomal RNA
Rfam family: Bacterial small subunit ribosomal RNA
Source: RNAcentral